UACGGAGGGUGCAAGCGUUGCUCGGAAUCACUGGGCGUAAAGCGACCGCAGGCGGUCUGACAAGUCGGAUGUGAAAGCCCUGGGCUCAACUCAGGAACUGCAUUCGAAACUGGCAGACUCGAGUACGGGAGAGGGGGGUGGAAUUCCUGGUGUAGGGGUGAAAUUCGUUGAUAUCAGGAGGAACACCGGUGGCGAAGGCGGUUCUCUGGGCCUUACCUGACGCUGAGGAGCGAAAGCGUGGGGAGCAAACAGG
RNAcentral lists this ribosomal RNA (253 nucleotides) under uncultured bacterium. RNAcentral's name for it is "partial 16S ribosomal RNA". It matches the Rfam family "Bacterial small subunit ribosomal RNA", at positions 524 to 776 of the family's 1533-position model. The record is from RNAcentral.